CAUUCAGGCUUUAAAAUCUUUGCCGUCGCCCUCAACGGUCCCUUUUGAAUCCGUCUGUCGGUCCAACACAUGCGGCUCUCCUCGGCAGUUUUCACUGAACUUGUUAAGAGUAGUUGUAACUACAAGGACACAAUACGAACUGUGCAAACAACACGCUAGCUGAGCGGUAGUUUGAGUCUGUAGCUAAAAUCUGCUAGCUAAAGUGUAGCGUUAGCAUUGUACAGGCAGGCCUCGUGCAGCCACGUGGAGAAAACUGAGAAAUGGAAAAGAUGAAGAACAAGGUGGAUUUGAGUCUGGCAGCUCUCUGCAUGAGUCUAAUGAGUGGUGUCCCUGCGAGGUCAGAAGAAUGGGUCCAUUCAAGAUGAUAAAGGCACAUUAUAGUCACACUGAGCUGAAAGAACUUGUGUUAGCUGCCACGAGAGAUGAAGUUGCCAUGCAGUGCUGCUCAUGCUCCCAAUUGAACCAUCUGGCCUGAAGAUGAUUGAUUUUUGCACAGGUUGGGUUCGUGAAGUAAGAAGAUUAAUCUGAAAGGUGACUCAUUCCUGGGUGCAGCUACAUCUGAGACAGACCUUGCAUCAUUCUGCCAGUCUGCUCCUGUCCCCUGAAGUCUGCUGCCGAGUGAAUUCACAGAAUUGGAUCGAGCAGUUGCAGCGACUCUGCCUCAGUCGACCUGCAAGCCACAUGUGAUGACAGGACGACUCAUGGACACUGGUCUGAAGGUGGAUGUCGACAUGUGUUUUGAAAACUAUUUUACACUGUAAAAUGCAGUAUGAGUAAAUGUGUGGUAUGACUCCAAUAAAGUGUCAGGACUGCCUGAAUAACUGAAACCAGUGGUGUUGCUACUUCUUUAGCCUGCACUGACACACAAGCAAAUCUAACAGGUGGGACCAAGUCACAAGUUAGUCUUAAAUGAGAUUUGAGUCCCAAACAAGUCAUCAUAUGCCCUUUGUCAAAUGUGCCAUUAAUGUGGACUAAUGUUUGGUUACAUAAGUAAUUCCUUUUUUUUUUUCUUUUUAAUUAAACAUGCUUGUUAAAGUUACCUAGCUGUUACGCUAAUAUUAGUGAUACGUUAGCUCACAGCUAUGUUAACCUUCACUUACCGUUCUUUGUGCCACUUAAACUUGUCGACCACUGUUUUUUUUUUUUUUUUUUUUGUAUAUGAAUGAAAUCAUGUAUCUUUUUUUCCCAAACUGCCGCCUGAUAGUUUUUAUGGUUGCUGGUAACAAGUAGCGUGCACAGUUGAAUCAGGAAAUGAAGGGAAAUGUAUUGAUUUGUGGUUCACUUAACUAAAUAACAUGCUUUACAGUCUCGUGCUUUAAGGCAUCAAGUAUUUAAGUCCGAGUGAGGUCAUGAGUCAUUGGUGUUAAAACCUGAGAAGCAAGUCUUACAUUUUUUGAGAUCAUAGCUUCUCAUAAAAUUUGCUUGAAGUCCAUACCUGUGAAAUACAAUAUGUAGGAACUAAAAACUGAAACUGCUCUUUAAUUGAAAUGGACCCACCACCAAUCCCAGAAAGACUUAAGAUGAAUAAACUGCUGAAGUCGUGCACCCAGUCCUCUCCAUAUUUUCUAGUCGUUUACAUGAACCUAAAGUCAUGACUUUAUAUUUUUCUAAUAUGGGGAAGUUUUCACUUUUUCUUCAAGAUGCCUGUGAUUAAAUGUACUGAUUUUGAUUUGCAGCUAAAGCAACCUCUUAGCACGCCCAAUGACCU
This is a long non-coding RNA of Epinephelus moara (kelp grouper), 1708 nucleotides long. RefSeq lists it as uncharacterized. The transcript has 8 exons. The record is from RefSeq and is a predicted model, not a curated record. NCBI's taxonomy places the organism in Eukaryota, Metazoa, Chordata, Actinopteri, Perciformes, Serranidae.